Molecule: ribosomal RNA, 266 nt
Filed under: uncultured Planctomycetota bacterium
Lineage: Bacteria; Pseudomonadati; Planctomycetota
Description: uncultured planctomycete partial 16S ribosomal RNA
Rfam family: Bacterial small subunit ribosomal RNA
Source: RNAcentral
GAGCACGUAGGUGGGUUUGUAAGUCAGAUGUGAAAGCCUUCUGUUCAAAGGAAGAGCGGCAUCUGAAACUGCAGAUCUUGAGUGUAGGAGGGGAGAGUGGAACUUCUGGUGGAGCGGUGAAAUUCGUAGAUACCAGAAGGAACGUCGGCGGCGAAAGCGACUCUCUGGCCUAUUACUGACACUGAGUGUGCGAAAGUUGGGGGAGCAAACGGGAUUAGAUACCCCGGUAGUCCUAACUGUAAACGAUGGGCACUAAGUAGAGGGGU